UGGUCAAUCGGCGUCAUAAUGGCCGGUCAAUCGGCGUCAUAAUGGCCGGUCAAUCGACGUCAUAAUAGAAGGUCAAUCGGUGUCAUAAUGGAAGGUCAAUCGGCGUCAUAAUGGAAGGUCAAUCGGUGUCAUAAUGGAAGGUCAAUCGGCGUCAUAAUGGAAGGUCAAUCGGUGUCAUAAUGGAAGGUCAAUCGGUGUCAUAAUGGAAGGUCAAUCGGUGUCAUAAUGGAAGGUCAAUCGGCGUCAUAAUGGAAGGUCAAUCGGUGUCAUAAUGGAAGGUCAAUCGGCGUCAUAAUGGAAGGUCAAUCGGUGUCAUAAUGGAAGGUCAAUCGGCGUCAUAAUGGAAGGUCAAUCGGCGUCAUAAUGGAAGGUCAAUCGGUGUCAUAAUGGAAGGUCAAUCGGUGUCAUAAUGGCCGGUCAAUCGGCGUCAUAAUGGCCGGUCAAUCGACGUCAUAAUAGAAGGUCAAUCGGUGUCAUAAUGGAAGGUCAAUCGGCGUCAUAAUGGAAGGUCAAUCGGUGUCAUAAUGGAAGGUCAAUCGGCGUCAUAAUGGAAGGUCAAUCGGUGUCAUAAUGGAAGGUCAA
Molecule: long non-coding RNA, 582 nt
Filed under: Pectinophora gossypiella (pink bollworm)
Lineage: Eukaryota; Metazoa; Arthropoda; Insecta; Lepidoptera; Gelechiidae
Description: uncharacterized LOC126377278
Source: RNAcentral